GUGGCUCAGCAGUAAUGAACUCAAUUAGUAUCCAUGAGGAUGUGGGUUCAAUCCCUGGCCUCGCUCAGUGCGUUAAAGGAUCUGGCAUUGUCAUGAGCUGGGGUGUAUGUUGCAGGUGCAGCUCAUAUCUGGCAUUGCUGUGGCUGUGGUGUAGGCCAGCGGCUACAGCUCUGAUUCAGCCCGUAGCCUGGGCAUAUCCAUGUGCCAUGGGUGCAUCCCUAAAAAAACAAGGAAGGAAGAUGGAAGGAAGGAAAGAAUAUGGUUAUUUGUCUUCCUCUUUCUGACUUACUUUGCUUAGUAUGAUAAUCUCUAGGUCCAUCUAUGCAGCUGCAAAUGGCACUAUUUCAUUCUUUUUUAUUGCUGAGUAAUACUCCAUUAUAUAUAUAUAUCACAUCUUUAUCAUUCCUCUGUUGAUGGGCAUUUAGGAUUUUUUCCAUAUCUUGGCUAUUGUUAAGUAGUGCUGUUGUGGACAUAGGGAUGUUUAUGUCUUUACAAAUUAACUUUUGUCUACUAAGGAAUAGAUUUAAGGCUACAUUUUUAAUUUGGUUUGCUUCAAAAGGAACAUUUUGAUAUGGUAUGUCCACUGAAAGUAGAUAUAGAAUUAUAAUGAGCAUCCAUAUUGUACCUGGAGGGUUUCUUCAACUUUUGCUAUAUUAAAUGAAAUUAUGACUAAAGAAUUAAAUGAUAAAAAGUUAUAUUUUAAUAUAAAAUUCAGUCUUUUUAAAAAACUAUUUCUAACUAAAAAGAGUAUUUAAGUAAUCUCGCACUCAGCAGAAUGAUUUCGACUGCAAGCAUGUUAAAAUCAUAGAUCCCAAACCUGACUGUCAUGUUACAUGCCAAUUACAUGAAACAGACUGAUGAAACAUUACUGCCCAACACUGUGCCUGGAUGUUAGGGGAAAAGGAAUUAAAAUGGAUCUCAUGGGAGAAAGUUUUUGUCUAGUUCUAGACAUAUGCUACUCCUCUAGUUAAGCUUAAUCGGUCAUGCUCAGUAAGUAAGUAGCCAAAAUAUGCCCCAUUUUUUUUUUCUCCUACGUACAAUUUGGCACUUUUUAUUCCAAAAGCAUGGUGCUCUGUUUUUAUUUUUAGAGCAUGAAACCUCACCAUUCAUGAACCCAAGUAAAUGCUUUAGAAGCUAAACUUGGUAAAAACUAAGGAAAAACAUGCCUAAGAUGUUUUGGGAUCAGGAUUUCCAGGGAUUCUAGGCAGGAAAGGAAAUCCUAAAUUCUGGGCUCCUUUAUAUGCGAAGCUGACACUACUUAGGGUGAAAUCUGGCCAAAGCUGUAGAACAACAACAUCUGGCAGCUGUUCAAGAGUCGUGUUUCCAAAGCAGAGAUAAAAAUGAGAAGAUCUGAGCAAAAGAUGCAAAUGAAAAAAUACAGUAAGUCACAUUAUACUAGAUUUAAGCUUUGCAAGCUUGUAGUGCUGAAUGGGUUCUUUUUAUAGGCGCUGAAUUAUGUAGGUCAAGGUGUCAGUUUAACAUAGGUUUCUGCUUUCAGUCUUGGCUUCCUGUGCAAUGACCAAUAGUCUCUUCCUUAUCCUGCAAGUCCACUUUCAACAUAAGAGCAGCUCCUUCUGGGCUUCAUAAAGGGCUAGGGAUUGUGUUUUAUCCUAAGCAAUGGGAAGGUCUUCGGCCAAACUGUCUGGAACAUGCCAGGUCUCAUCUAAACAAUGGGACGUCAUGGAUGGUGGCGCCUAGACGUGACUUAGCAGUCUUGUGUCUUUAAAACAACUCUCUAACUGUGAGACUCAGGUUUUGUACAGGUUAAAAAAUUCAUCAUACAGGGAAAGGGCAGUCGUGAGCCACUAAAUAAGUUAACUCAUAUAAAAAGCCUAGUGUAUUUCCUAUUUAUAACCUUGACCCAGGACUUACCAUAACUUUAAAUGUGUAAGCAUCUGUGUCUUUGCUUCUUUAAUUAUUCACUCCUCCAUAUGACUGCAGUUCCAUGAGAACAGGGAGCCCCUCUGUGCAGCCAGCGCUGAAAUCUGAGUGCCUAGCACAGAGAAGGAAAUGCACAAAUGAAUGGAUAAAUGGACACAUGAAAACUAGAAAAUACUCAUGCUGGGAAGCUCUCUUUCCUUGUACUCAUCUCAGAUUGUGAUUUUCUGUGCAUGUGAAUACCUGAUUGAUGUCUGGGACCCUGCACUUGACAUGAAGUGGCUCCAUAAAGGCAGCCACUGUGUUGUUUUUGCUGCUCAUGUACUGAUGUUCUCUCAUAAUCUAGCAGUCUCUGGGGCACGGCCCUUAGAUAUAAGCAUAUGUAGGAAGAAUUAAUGUAGUGGAUCCCACUGUUGUAGCAGAGGAUGUACAUAGAGUCUUUUGAAUGGUUAUUCAGUAGUUCUUUUUGAUAUAUGUCAGUCUCCUCUAACUGUAAGCUCCCUGAGCGUAGGAUACAUGCAUACCCCACCCCCAACUGCCCAGUAGAGUGCCUGUAGCUUCGCAACUACUCCAUACAUGUUCUUGACUGCAUGGCAUAGUUCCCAAACUAAACGUAAGGAAAUAUGCUGAAUUAAUUUCAUCUUCAAGAAGAGUCUUGAAAAGAACUUAAUUAAUUUUUGGUGUAUUUUAUUUAUUUUGGACAAAAACAUCAGAAGAAUCUGGAGGCUUAAAAAACGUAAUUCCUUUUAAAUUCAUGCUUUGGAAAAUCUCAAGAGGUCCUUCAUUCCCCUUGGUAUUAAACAAGGCCAAUGAUAUUGCCAAGCUGAAGCUAAGCUGGCAUGAAUUAUUCAGAGCAGCAGGAGAAGCAGCUGCUCAUCUUCUCUGCCCCUAAUUUUGAAGGGUGGAGAAUUGGAGGGCAGUGGUGACAACACCAGGGGGGAAGAAAAGAUAAAUUGUUGCCCUAAACCUCAUAAGCUAUAACAUCUGCAACACUGUGUUUAAUUUGGCGGUGGAGUCCACUGUGCCUGCUGCAGAUAACAAGGGCAAAAAAUAGGAGAAAGCAUAUGAGUACCUGUUUGGUUGGGGUUGAGGGGGGCAGAAAAGGGAAGAAGAUGGAGACGAAGAGAGAGGGGGGAGGAGUAGGGGAGGAAAGACAGGUGUCCAUUCUGGAAGGCAAGAGGGCAAAUUCUAGUUAAGGAAUAAUACGGGACUUAGAAAACUCUUCCUGUCCAGAAAAAAGCUCAAGUGAAAUUUAAAGUGCAGAGAUGCAUGUAAAGAAAAGUAUCUACAAAGUAAAGCAUGUUGUAAUAUUGUCAUGCAAAAAAAGACCCCACCAUUCAGCUGAAGAGAGCCUCUGCCCCUGGAUAACUUCUGUUUCUUUGAUCCAGAGGCUAUAUUGGAAUGUUUUUAAUUUCUUGGGGUCCUGGUGGGUGGCAUAUAGGAAAGUACCGUUAGAGAGAGGUAGGGUUAUUGUGGCUAUGCAUGUAGGUACUGGAAUCAUAAAGUCCCAGGAUUUUAGGUCUGGAAAGCACUUUAGACUUCCUACCAUAGGGUCUUGGGUUGUAAAAUUUGAGACACGUCCGCUUUUCUUCUGGAUUGAAAUGACUUUUACUUGAUGGAUGUAUCGAUGGGUGGGGAACUAUCUUGAAUCUUUAAAGUUUUAUUGAAAAUCACCCUGAAGACAUUCUGACCACAUCUCCUGCUUCCUACUGUUACAAUUCAAGAGCAGUUAAGUUGAGUCAGAAAUGGGCAGAGAGCCCAACUUGCAGAAUGAUGCUUUUUGGUGAAGGGCAGACAGAUGCUCAGUGUCACACUGUCUGAGGUUAAGAAACCAGAAGAGGCCCAUCUAGUCUCUCAAAAAUGAAAAUGUGGGGGAAAAAAAAUAGGGACUGCAAGGCAUGCGUCCUAUACCAUUUAUUGAGGUGAACUUUAAAAACACAACAGGAGUUCCCGUCGUGGCGCAGUGGUUAACGAAUCCGACUAGGAACCAUGAAGUCGCGGGUUCGGUCCCUGCCCUUGCUCAGUGGGUUAACGAUCCGGUGUUGCCAUGAGCUGUGGUGUAGGUUGCAGACGCAGCUCGGAUCCCGCGUUGCUGUGGCUCUGGUGUAGGCCGGUGACUACAGCUCCGAUUAGACCCCUAGCCUGGCAACCUCCAUAUGCCGCGGGAGUGGCCCAAGAAAUAGCAACAACAAC
This 4071-nucleotide long non-coding RNA is filed under the name Sus scrofa (pig). RNAcentral describes it as "lncRNA (ENSSSCG00000056582.1)". The record is from RNAcentral. Lineage: Eukaryota; Metazoa; Chordata; Mammalia; Artiodactyla; Suidae.